UGGGAGUAACUCCUUCUAAGCUAAAUAUAACCAUGAGACCGAUAGAAGACAAGUACCGUGAGGGAAAGUUGAAAAGCACUCUGAAUAGAGAGUCAAAUAGUACGUGAAACCAUCUAGGAUAUUACAAACCUAUGGAACCUGGCAGAACCGGGGCAGAGAUAUUCAACUGCGUGUGGGUUGCUUACGCUUCCGCCGCAGGGCACUUAUCUGCUGCAGCGUACCGGCAUCGCGAUCCAUUACAAGGGGUUAAAGGUGGCGCGCAAGCGCUGCCUUGUAUCUGGCACCAAAGGUCCCAGGCUCGCACUGGCGUCCCUCUAGUAGCGCUCACUAAGUCAAGCACCCGGUGGCGCAAACGGGGGGUCGAGGCUUCGGUCUCGUGUUCGGUCGAGCUACGGUGUACCGCCGGAUAUGUGAUGGGCUCAAAACGAACGGGGGUAGAUGGAAGCCGCAAGGCUUCUUGUCUCCCGAUCGGCGAUGUGAAAGAUUGCUGGUGAACCCAUGGGACCCGUCUUGAAACACGGACAAGAAAUUCACA
RNAcentral lists this ribosomal RNA (535 nucleotides) under Anopheles barbirostris. Its description in RNAcentral is "eukaryotic LSU rRNA". It matches the Rfam family "Eukaryotic large subunit ribosomal RNA", at positions 293 to 679 of the family's 3401-position model. Lineage: Eukaryota; Metazoa; Arthropoda; Insecta; Diptera; Culicidae. The record is from RNAcentral.